GUGAGCGGGAAUUGAUGAGACAUCAUUACGGAAUACAAAAUACGUACUGUGUUUUGAUUCAGAAAGUGUUAAUUUUUUCAGAUUUCUCUCAGGCUAACUUUAUAAAUUAUGAAAAACAAAACAAACCAAAGAAUAUCAGUUUCAUCAGCUUAAGCCAUGUUACAGGUAAUUAUUGUAAAGAAUUCAUCUUUGGAGGACAAAGCCUAAGUUUAGGUCUUUCUGUGCACUGCCAGGUAGCUGCAAUGGGGUCCACAGCAGACAGGCGUGAGGACGAGCAACUUGGGCUGCUCCACUCAAAACACACUCACACUGUAAGAUGGGCUUCCCAGGCAGCACUGAACAUGACUGUAGUUUCCUUGGAGGUAGCUGGGGAUGCUUCUGAGCCAGGGAUGGGGUAGAGUUAAUUCUGGUCAGGCAAGGUCCUCCAUGGCAUUAACCAAGGAAAUUGGAAUCUUGAGCAGUUGUCUAACAAAACACAGACCUUUCACCAUGGCAUAGCAAUACCACAAGAUGGCUUUUUGUUUGUCAAUAACCUGUAAGUUAGGGACUGGGUGUGUAGCUCAGUGGUAGAGCACUUGCUUAGCCCACUUGAGUUCUUCCUACAUUUGAUCCUCUGCACUGGAACAAAAAGUAAAUAAAAAAAACAUCAAUUAGACUCUAGUAACUUGAGAGUAGAAAGGAAAACUGGUAAAACAAAUCCAUGGGAAAGAAAAGAGAACCCUUGUGCACAUGUGCAUGCAUGCAAAUACAUGCGCACACAUGUCUCUGACCAUAUCUCUCAACCACACACAGUACACAUAUGCAAAUGAAUGGUUUGAAGGCAAAGGAGAGUGGAUCAAAUAUGGAGCUCAAAAUGACUUUUCGGAACUUCAGUCAAGACUACCACCUUCUUUCUUUCAGAGAUUUAAAACGUGCAGUGAAGCGAGUCCUGCAAGCUCUGAGCAGCCAGCAGAGACCCAUUUGUAUUUGGCCAAGUGAGCAUCAGGAGGAAGAAACAUGGUCUUCUUUGGAAAGGCUAUCUUCUAGAAAUCUCAAGUGCUCCAAAAUUAGCCUGGCACAUUGGCAGAACUUCCUGCCUAUUCUGGAGGCUGGACUGGAGUCAGUGCAGUCUUUCCCAUUCCCUAGAUCUGGACGGGGACACUGGGCGGAGACAGUAGGGGUAGCUUCUUAAUGUUCUGGGGCAUUGAGUCAUGUACUUGGUAGGAGGAGCCCCUGCUGGGAUCCUGGUGUCUUUUACAAACAGGCUAUAAAACUACAUUUGAGCUCAUAAUGGCUAGGAACUAAAUGCAAUCAUUUCCUAUGGGGUUGCUAUUGUGGCUGUAUGCAAGGUCCCUUAUGUCGCUGGCAGCACUCAAACCAAGGCAGGAAUACUCUCUUCUUUCAGGUGCUGUGAAAGGAAAGAAAGCAAAGAGCCAUCACUCAGAAGAAUCUUCCCAAAUUCUUUUCUUGUCUAGUGGAACGGAACCAGGAGUGUAGACCAAUGAACCACCUGUGCUGUCUGCCAGGUCUGUGACAUUGCCGUCUGCCUCCAGUGGGGGCGCAGUGAGACUCCUCCCCUGUGGAGACUUGUUGCUUCUCUGCCUCCUAUCAGGGUGCCAGCUGAGGAGAGAGACAACCUGUGGAGAGUCCCGUGGACGUUUUCAUGUCUUCAGAACUAUUACUUGGUUUUAGUAUUUUUCGUUUUCCUUCUGUAAUUUCCUUCUGUCUGCCCAAAAGCCUCCAUCAGAUUUUGCUGAUCUCUCAGUCUGGUCCUAGCUGUGUGAUGAGAAGCUGGGAGAGGCGUCAUCUGCACCUCCAACAGAGGUGAAGCGGCUGGGGAGGAAUGAUAAGAGGCAGCCUGCAGCAGAGAGAUGUCAGGAACAGAACGGCUGGCUGAGGGGGACAAGUCCCUGCGGGUGGGCGGGAAGAGACUUGUGGAGAUGCUGGUAUUCACCCUGAAUGUGAAUGGAGAUUUUGGAAGAGAAAGCUGGACAGCACCCGGAUCUUCUGAAGUGACCCAGUGUACCAGUUGUCAACACAUUGUCUCUCAGCCUCAAUGUCACCCUAUACCUUCUUUGUAAAAGUGGAGCUGGGCCCCUUUAAUAACUGCUAUUGUCUGCAGGUUGGGUAGUUAGCAGGCAGAGGUCUAGAGACACCCAGGAGGACCAGUUUUCCUAGUGGCUGCUGGGCUCUUGGGCUAGGCAGGCUUCUGCAGGUGGGUAGCUUCACCAGGAGCACUUAGCCUGCAGUACCACCCUUGAGGGCUUUGGUAGUGAAGUGCUUUCAGAGGGGUAUCUUCAUGCGAACAGCUCCCUCUACACCCUAAAAAAGUAGAUGUCCAGCAAGUCCUAAAGUGGGAAUGUCCAGCUUUUUCUUUAUGGCAUGAACCAUAAAGACACCUCCGCUAUUUAGAUGGCUUGCCCACCCAAAGGGGAUCUGGACUCAGCCCCAUUGGAAGGGGAAGGGAAAGCUCACCCUGGCGUGCUUUGUCUCAACCCUAGGAAUGUGGCUCCUUAAAUCUUCUGUUUGCUAUUCCUAUUUUCUUUCGAUUUCUCUUCUUACCUAGCCUAUCCCUUCUUACUCCAAAUCCUAUUACAGUUG
Molecule: long non-coding RNA, 2580 nt
Organism: Heterocephalus glaber (naked mole-rat)
Lineage: Eukaryota; Metazoa; Chordata; Mammalia; Rodentia; Bathyergidae
Source: Ensembl